This 567-nucleotide ribosomal RNA is filed under the name Bacillus zanthoxyli. Its description in RNAcentral is "bacterial SSU rRNA". It matches the Rfam family "Bacterial small subunit ribosomal RNA", at positions 96 to 649 of the family's 1533-position model. The record is from RNAcentral. Lineage: Bacteria; Bacillati; Bacillota; Bacilli; Caryophanales; Bacillaceae.
CGGCGGACGGGUGAGUAACACGUGGGCAACCUGCCUGUAAGACUGGGAUAACUUCGGGAAACCGAAGCUAAUACCGGAUAGGAUCUUCUCCUUCAUGGGAGAUGAUUGAAAGAUGGUUUCGGCUAUCACUUACAGAUGGGCCCGCGGUGCAUUAGCUAGUUGGUGAGGUAACGGCUCACCAAGGCAACGAUGCAUAGCCGACCUGAGAGGGUGAUCGGCCACACUGGGACUGAGACACGGCCCAGACUCCUACGGGAGGCAGCAGUAGGGAAUCUUCCGCAAUGGACGAAAGUCUGACGGAGCAACGCCGCGUGAGUGAUGAAGGCUUUCGGGUCGUAAAACUCUGUUGUUAGGGAAGAACAAGUACGAGAGUAACUGCUCGUACCUUGACGGUACCUAACCAGAAAGCCACGGCUAACUACGUGCCAGCAGCCGCGGUAAUACGUAGGUGGCAAGCGUUAUCCGGAAUUAUUGGGCGUAAAGCGCGCGCAGGCGGUUUCUUAAGUCUGAUGUGAAAGCCCACGGCUCAACCGUGGAGGGUCAUUGGAAACUGGGGAACUUGAGUGC